GGCCCCUUCAUGGCUCAAGUAAAACUCACAGACUAACAGCACUACUGCAACUUUUAGCAAUCAAUGAAAGCUGGAUAGAAGCUGCUGAUCAUGUUUGGCAACUUUGCUGUCCACCCAAGACUCUUUGUGCCGAUCUGCGCAGCUGUCAUGCUGUUUACCGUGUGCUCAGAUGCUGCGAGAGCAACCCAAAAUCGAGUGACUUAUGAUGUGCCGAGACAACUUUAUAGUCUGUAUAGCCAACAUCGUCCCUCCUCUAUUGGUCCACUGUCAACAGAAACUGGACUCCACGGUGGAACUAAUGAUGAAACUGGGACAAGCUGGAAUCAUAGAGGGACCCCUUCAAUCAUUGAUCAACAAUCAAAACCUUUCCAGUUUACACAAGGUAUCUACAGUAACAGCCAAAACAGCCCUGAUAACAAGCGGAGAAUAAUAAAAGUGCAGCGAGGUCACAGAGCAGAUGGCGCGAGGCCAGCGAGCAGCUUUUUCACCAGCCAAUCGUCUCCCCAGCACGGAGGGCGAAGCUCAGGGAGUUGGCAUUCCAGGCAGAAUAACCACGCUCUCUCUCAGAAAGAAACCCCAACUGAAAAUUCUCCUGAUUCCCACUCAGUGAUCAUUAGAAAACCGUCUCCAGAAAAAGCUGGCAGUCGC
Archocentrus centrarchus (flier cichlid) is the source of this 648-nucleotide long non-coding RNA. RefSeq lists it as uncharacterized. NCBI's taxonomy places the organism in Eukaryota, Metazoa, Chordata, Actinopteri, Cichliformes, Cichlidae. The record is from RefSeq and is a predicted model, not a curated record. The transcript has 3 exons.